UGGGGAAUCUUGGACAAUGGGCGCAAGCCUGAUCCAGCCAUGCCGCGUGGAUGAUGAAGGCCUUAGGGUUGUAAAAUCCUUUCGCCGAGGACGAUAAUGACGGUACCCGGAGAAGAAGCUCCGGCUAACUUCGUGCCAGCAGCCGCGGUAAUACGAAGGGGGCUAGCGUUGUUCGGAUUUACUGGGCGUAAAGCGCGUGUAGGCGGGUCGUUAAGUUGGGGGUGAAAUCUCAUGGCUCAACUGUGAGGCUGCCUUCUAGACUGCCAGGCUUGAGCACAGUAGAGGCGAGUGGAAUUCCCGGUGUAGCGGUGGAAUGCGUAGAGAUCGGGAAGAACAUCGGUGGCGAAGGCGGCUCGCUGGGCUGUUGCUGACGCUGAGGCGCGAAAGCGUGGGGAGCAAACAGGAUUAGAUACCCAAGUAGUCCCUGAGCGGGCUGGCAAGGCGCAU
This 447-nucleotide ribosomal RNA is filed under the name uncultured bacterium. RNAcentral describes it as "bacterial SSU rRNA". It matches the Rfam family "Bacterial small subunit ribosomal RNA", at positions 355 to 825 of the family's 1533-position model. The record is from RNAcentral.